ACACACACACACUCUGUCAGCCAGAGAUAACAACAGAUUUCAAAAUAAAACGAAUGAAAACAAUAUGAAUGCAGGCAAAAAUUCGAAAUAAAAUUAUAUAUUCUGUGUUUAUUUGUAGUUCGUCAUGUUUAAAUUUCACAUAUAAUGCAUGACAAAAUAUGUCUUUUUAAAGAUGGAUUGUGCUACACUAACCAUAUAGCCUCACCCCUGUGACCUCUCCCAUCCCCCACACCUUUUUUUUUUUUUUUUUUCAGAUUGCUUCGGCCCCAGUCGAGAGGUUUUGGGCGUUGGAGCAUCAGAGAGAUUUUGCAUACAGCUGUAUUCAAGUCUGGGGUAACUACGCUGACAGGCUGAUGGAGGAGCGUUAUGUAAAUGAGAAAUGCUUCCAGAGAAACAGCAGAAUGGAGUCCAGGAGAUGCACCGUUCUCCAUCGCUGUAACCAAGGGCAGACGAUGUGAGGAUGCAGCCUACAGAGAAAUGGAGCGUGCGAAUUCUGCGACUCUACUGGCACCAUGAUUUCGCCGUUGAGGGGAAUGAGCAGGAUAAGUGGCGGCCAUGAUUGGUUACAGCAGUGGCAGCCUGUGUUCAUCUCGCUCCCCCCUGUGCCUGCUCAUGCGAGACGCUCCGAGAGUGUGUCCUCCUUGGAGAAGACAUGUGUCCCUAUACAUAUAUGUCCAGAGAAUGUAUGUCUGCUUUCUCCUAAAAAAUACAGCCGAUUGGACUGUUGUCAGGCUAUUAAAUAGGCUUUAUCAGUUGCUAUAAGCGACCGUCGUAAUUUUGACAGGAGUCUAAGCAGAAGUCAGGCGCUGUAGUAUAGACAAUGUGAAACUCCAUACGGGUGGAGGUAGGGGACGAUGGAACCAACAAUGUGUAGUUGUCUUUGUGUUCGUAGUUAUUUUAACCCAAAACACGAUGAUUUUCCCUUAACUGAACUUACCCUAACUCUUUUUUUGCCUAAACCUAAAGAAGUUGUUAUUGUAUUGCCUAAACCUGUUUUUUUCCUAAAUCUAAAGACGUUGUAAUUUUGUUGCCUAAACCUAAAGACGUUGUAAUUU
This is a long non-coding RNA of Sebastes umbrosus (honeycomb rockfish), 1055 nucleotides long. RefSeq lists it as uncharacterized. NCBI's taxonomy places the organism in Eukaryota, Metazoa, Chordata, Actinopteri, Perciformes, Sebastidae. The record is from RefSeq and is a predicted model, not a curated record. The transcript has 3 exons.